CGGCUUUCCUUCCUUCCUUCGUUAGACUUUUGAACCGCAAAAUAACGCCUAGAAGAAUAAGAAGCAACUGAGGACGUUGGACUGUUGUGGUAUAAGUAGAGAACGGAUAUAAACCAGCUCCUUCAACCAAAAGUCUGAAAUUUCGAAGCUAGGCUGCUCCACUCAGUUGGAAAGUCCAUCACCUGUAACAUAGGCCCCGCCCUGCAACGCGCACGUAGUGCAGAGGACGCCAAUGGUAAGAAAAUGGUUGAAUUUCACAAAGUUUCUCAUAACACACCUAUGAAAACUUAACUCAAUCCAUAAAGCUUUGAAACUGAAGAUUUUGUUGUCUUUGUGUGCACACCAACCAACCAAAACAUGAACACCUGAGCAAUCUACUGCAAUCUGAUAGAACUGCUCUGCCACAAAUUCUACUGUCAGGAAUCCUUCUCAAGCUUCAGUUUUUGUUGUUAGAUCUGUGAGCUGUGGCCUGAAAGAGCAGGACAUUGAUUUUGAUUCCCCUUUUUGGUCAAUACAGGCAGAGUAACUGAAGGAAAGUACCACAGAAACAAGUGGAGCUUCACAGGGACAACAAAACAGGUAAGAAUUAAACAUGAACAGGAAUGCUAUCCAGUACACGUGAUUAGAUUUUUCACAAUGGUCUGAUUCUUUUUUGUAACAUGAGAAGUGUGCAAGAAAAAAGUGAGCUUUCCUCUUUGCCAAAUAGGCGGCAGUGUUUCUUAUGCAAGUUGUGAUGAUGCAAAUUAUAUUGGGAAUCUAAUAAACUGAGUUGUGACAAAUCCUCCACCAACAUUCAAGAAAGCGCUUUUCGGUAUGGAAGCUAUUCUAGUGCUCAUAGAUGUUUGUGUUGGUUACAUGGACACUAAAGUGGCAGAGACUCUUGAAAGUGAGUCUGGCAGUUGAAUUCAAUGUCAAAAAAGUUGUCUGGAUUCUGGGGGCCUUUGUCAGAUGUCCCAGUGAAUGGAAAUCUUAAACUCAUGGAGCUCAUAGUCUUUGUUGUGAAAUGUGUCACCUCUUAAGACUAAAAGGCUAUCGCAGACAAAACAGAAACAAUCCAGGAGUUCUAGGUUACAUUCAACUCCUGUUUUUACUGUGUGCAUCUGUGUUAUGUGUGCUUUGUGUUGUGAGGUGAUGUGGAGAUCUCAGAGACCCUGAGAGUUUCUGGUAGGCGUUGUUGUUGGUCUUGUGGCAACAUAAAGCAGGUUCUUGUGGCCUUUGUGCUUUAAGCUACACACCAUAUUUGUCCUGAUUGCUGCUCUUUAUUGCUGUGAAUGAAAAAAAAAUUGGUAGAGAUAAUUACAACACUGAUGCCAUGUCUUCAGUGUAAACCAUUUCCUUGUUGCUUUGUAUUUCAUAGUGGAUGGAAGCAUGUGCACAUUGUUACUUGUUUAUUUACAUUUUCCACAUUACAUGGCUUGAUAAUGUAAGACAUACCCAUAUGCUGUAUAUUGUUGGAUGUAAUUUGGCUGUUGUUGAGUUAUCAGUCCUUUCAAAAUAACCUUUAUAGUUUACUAGGAACAAAAUAAUUAAUUCAGGUAAAAAUGACAAAGACAACUGUUACUGAGGUCUAAACCACUUCUUUAGCUGUAAGCUGAUCUCUGAUUGGUCUAACCAUGAAAAGGCCAGGCUGAGAAGUAUAACCUCUGACAGUAACCUUUUGGUCUUGUUAAGAAAACACAGUUUUUUAAAGUAAUUUAGAUUCCAACUAUCAAACUAGUCUACAUAUGAAAAAUAAAAAAAAUAAACCCCAUCAAAAUUAAGUACAAUUUAUUUGACAGGGUUAGGAACAGAAUCACAAUGUCUGCAGGUAAACAAUGUUGAAUUGGUUCACUGAGUGUGGCUCAUAAUAGCAGUUCUAGAGGCACCAAUUUGCAGGUAACAUCCACAUUUCUGUGCGCGUUGCAUAUUGCUCUGGUUGGGUGGUUAUAUGCAAGUUUAACUCUCAUUUUUAACAUAUUUUCUAGAUCAAAAUACUGCCAAAACGUGACAUGCUCCUGUAUGCUCUCUGCCAUCUAUGUUUGUUUUCAUUUGUGGCUGUAGGGGAGUAUGGCACAAGCCAAUAACUGGAGCUGCAGCCCCAGCUGUCACGGUUUGGGUCUACAGUGAUAAACAUGAUUAGUUUAGCUGAUUGGAGUGGUUAGGAUUUAUAAGUCAUUCAUACCUUCGUUUGGGUUAUUUUUAUGGGAUGCUGUCAACUAGCUACCUCUUGUUGACAAAAUAUAAAAACUCCUCUGGCAGUUUCCAAACAACUUCAGGCACAGUACCCCCUGGAAUGAUGGGGAAAUGAACCUGACGUGUACUGUUGCCAGUUAAAGCCCUGAGGGAUAAAGCUAGAUUUGUGAUCAGAGCAUCAAAGAAAAAAAGCUAAAAUGAGUCGCCUGAUACUCUUUGGUGGCUGUUGAUACAGCUGGGCCGUCUGCCAAAGUUAUGUCUAGUUGUGGUUUUGUCUUUAUUGACCACUCUCUCCUGUAGUUGAGGAAAGGGAAUAUCCGUGAAUAACUCUUGCUUGCUUCUGUUAUAGAAUGGAGACAUUCAUGGAUGAGAUUGCAGCAGUUAUGUUGAUGUUGAAAGCCAGUUGAUAGACAUUACCACUUUAUAAGGGGUGGGAGUCAAGUGAUUUAUGUUUGAAAAACUAAAUAACUGGCCAUACUUUGGGGUUCGGAGCUCAUGUGCAUGAAAAAUGUGAGUUCUUGGGCUGCAUUUCUGAAACUGUUUAUUUGAAAAACACAAACCUGUGCAGGAAAAGCUUUCGGUCAGAUGUGGACUUUUGCAAUUACUUCAUGUAGAAUACUGUGUGUCUGUUGAACUCAGUUAUUUCAUGCGUGCAUUUUAUGAAUCACUUUUUCUUAUUGCAUUUAAAACAGGCCAGAGCUCACAGCAAGGCUUGCUAGACAUAAAGUUAAUAGCAGUCAUGCAUAUUCUAGUGUUACUUUUCACAUAUGCAUACCCACUCAGCUGGAAACCACACAUGACCUCCAGUUGACUCCUUUAAUUAGACAGCAUGGUCGAAUCAUUCCCUGAUUUCGUGGUCAAGUAUACAAACCAGUCUCACAAUGAAAAUAAACAUUCAGAAGUCAUAGGUGUUUGGAUUGUUGUCUUGUUUAAAUCAAAAUAGUUUGGAUUAUAUUUUUGUCAACGCAUGUUCAUGUGUCAGCACAGUCACAGCUUUAAGCUGCAGUGAACCUUCCUGUUUACUUGAUGGUUUCAUGUAGACAACCUUUUGCACUCGAAAAAGCCGAAUGAUAGUUAAGUUAAUGUUGCCUUAGAGGGUUUCAUCAUAUCAUUUACAUUGCAUUCAGAUUCAGGGUGUAACACUGAACGAUAAUCAACAGAGCGGCAUAAUGUGCCAUAUUUCAGGGCCACUGAGCAGCUUGUCCAACUGACAGAGACGGAGAGAGUAAGAGACUCUUCAGAGAGAGAGAGGGAGAGAGAGAGAGUGAGAGAGGAAGAGAGAGGUGGGGAGAAAGCAGGGACUGAGAAGUGGGGAUAAAGCCCUGUUCACUGCAUGCACAUGUUGCCUGAAGAACAACAGAAAGGGCUUUGCUUUAAAUGAUUCAGAGCAAAGAUAAAAUAUUUAUUGAGGUGAAAGAUUCAUGUAUGGCACAUCUAUGAACUCAUUGCUGUAUGUCUAAAUUAGAUCAUGUUGUAGUAUUUAGCUUUGCCUACGAAAAAAGAGUUAGAUUUUCCCUAGCAAAAAAAAGCAUAUUAGUGAAGCAUUGUGAAUGCGCUAAAGAUGUCUUUUUAAAACCAACUCUUUCAUGUCUUUUAAAUGCAGUUUUUUCCAACUUUAAACAUCCACCAUGAAGAGAAAUAUCUGAAUAUUUGUUUUCCUUAAACUUGACGCUCAAGCAAAAUUGUGCAGCUUGAAUUCUCAUCUGGUAUUUUUCAGAAAGUCUUUUUUUAAAGAAAGUGGCAUAUUGCUGUUAUUCUUUUCAUUGUUAUUGAAUUGUUGACAUAAGCCUGACUACACCCUAUUGCCAUACACCGUCAGAAACGUUUGAUUAUUUGUCUCACAAAAAUUGGAGCAUAAGAAUUUUUACUGCUGUGUGGAUGUCGAAACAAACCACAGGUGACCGGAGGGGGGUUUGUCUAGGAAAUCUGUGGGGGUCCCACCGCAGUUGAUGUGAGGAAACAAAAUUAAAUCCUUAUGGCUCAGGGUCAUGGCAACAGUUCAGAUGUUUAUUGAUUAAAUGUCAGAUGCCCAGGUGAACGUGAUUCACAGCUCAGAGGAGUCUAAUUCAACAAUCCAUCACCAGUAGAGGAACAUUCAAAACAAUACAUCAUCACCACAAGUUUGGAGCUCCUGUGCAACUCAAAAAUGGCGAAAUGAUGAAACGUUGCGCUGUGAUAUUGAUAUUACUGUAUAAAGUUAAAGCAGCAAAGCUAACUUAGGCCCGGACUACAGGUAUAUAGAUAUUUAUUUAUCAGGAUAUUUUUGUACUCCCGUCUAAAUAAAUGUAUCUGUCCACACGGGUUCUCAGAAAUAUCUGCGUCCACACGUAGCCUUCAAACUCAAUCCUAUCUGGUGCUGCUUAAAAAUAAUUCAGGAACAAAGCUACCUGAUUGGCCGAUGAAUCGUAACAGCGUGAUGCGUCAUGAAUUGUUUGCAGAAGCUUCGCUAGUGCGUCGGGUCCAUGUGACGGACCAUGUGACCAAUAAAAGUAUUGGGCGCAGCAGACGCCUUUGUGAGCUGGCUGACUGGUGGAUGUAAUUGUAUAAAACAAGGUUCACUUGCAAGGCUGAAAUUAGCCCCAAAAGGGCAAAACAAACGUAAAGAAUACCCUGUGUGUCCGCCAUCGUUGUUGUUGUUUUUCUUUUUAAUUCACAUGCGCGAGCUGCGGUUUGACGUCAUCGAUCCGUAAAAGUUAAACCACACGAAUCCACUUAUGCAAAUAUUUUUUUUUAUUUCUCCACUUGUUUUUUCGGAUUCAGAUUUAUCAGAUUAAGCCAGAUCAAAAUAUCAGCUUAAAAAAACAUUUAUCAGUUGCAAUAUUGACAAGCAAUGAAAUUUUCCUCUAUUUAAUUAGUGUAUAUUUUCAAAAAACUCCACAAUAAAUGUAAUCCACAGGAAUAAGCUGACUGCUGUAUUAUAGCCUUAUUUUGUUGAUCUGCUAAAUUUGAACAUGGAGAAAAUGGAAAAAAGUUGUCCUGCUUUAAGAAAGAAAAGGAGAAAAAGACAUCAAAAUGGAUCCAGAAGCUUACAGCUAUUAUUUCCUAGCAUUUUUGGUUAGGGUGAACAAUUGAGAAAAACAUUAAAACUGAAUGGUCAUUGUAAGACGCAUUUCCAAAUAAAAUCCUCAUUAAUACCUAUUAAUCUUUGAGACUACAUUGUGUAAAACAAUUGAUGUGUUAUCAAAAGACUAUAAAAUCACUUCAAGUGUAACUGUGCUUUUGUAAAGUGAGUAUUUGAGAGCAAACAUCCCGACUCAAAAAGUAAACACCCUCAUACAUUGAAAUGGCGUGUCAGUGAUGGCGGAUCUUGUGCUGCUAUGAGUACAAUUCCAGACAGGGCAGGCCUUCAGCCAGGAGAGAGGGGGAGCGUUUUUUUGCUGAUAGGUUCGGUGCAAUUAUUGUGGGGUAUAUUAAUUUGGAAACCCUAAGGGUGACCCCUCACAUGAGACAGAGGUCUGGCAGUCUUGGUCUUCAUGCAGGCCAUGAGCGUACAGUGACACAUAACCUUGCCCUGUCACCACCCUCACCAAUGUGUCAGCUAACAUUACUGUGAUUGACGUUGAGCCAGCACUCCAGCCCUGUGAGAUCUGAGGCUCUGUAUAACCUCGCCCUGACUAUGUACCAGGGCUAGGACAUUUGGGGCAUGGUGCAGGAUCAUGAUGUUUGUAGCCUGUGCCUCUGUUAAACAAGGGCAUGAGGCUUUGUGACCUUGUUUAAAUGGGAGCUUUGUCCAUAGUGUUAUCUCAGCCAAAAUCUUAAUGUCGUUUUAAACAUCACUCUAUAAAUAAAAACUCUUGCUUUUACACAAAAGAUCCAAUGCUAAGUUGGGAAAUUUAUAUACUCUCAGAUUGACCACGGCAGGUGACAGGUAGAGAAUUAUACAAUAUAUUUCUCCUGAAGCUCUACCAUUUGCUGUAUUUUCAAUGAUGCUUGUUAGUUGACCAACCUGUGAUGUAAAAAAGAAAAGGUGAAGUUACAGUCAUCGUUUGUUGGUACUUUUUACUAAAACUAAGUCAUGAACCUCUGUCUGUAAUUCACAUUCUGCUGAACCAUACUGUUGCUUAAAGACUGCUCCCUUGUCAAAGUCAUGAGUCUCACGAAAUCCUGGCUUGGAUGGCUAGUAAGCUAGUUAAGCUUUAAAAAGCCAAUUUAAUGACCACUUAGAGCAGGGGUGGGCAAUCAUGUGCCAUGGAGGGUUGAGAGGCUGCAGGUUUUCUUUCCAACCCAAAACUCCACCAGGUGAUUUCACUGAUUACCUUACCUCCAAGCAGAGAGCAGGGACUAAUCAGUGAAAUCACCUGGUGGAGUUUUGGGUUGGAAAGAAAUCCUGCAGCCUCUCGGCCCUCCAUGGCACAUGAUGUCUGUGUCUGUCUUGCAGUUCAAAUUUGAGAUAAAAAAAUGUAAAUCUUCAUUUAAACAACAACAAAAAAAAUUCUUCCUCAGUGUUUCUGUGCUACUUAACAGUAUGUAUGACAGAUAUUUGUUACAGUUAAUAAUCACAGUGUGGAUGAAGGAUGCAAGUUCAAAAUUUUCUUGUAGAUGAACUUAUGGAAAUGUCAGUGAUCGUCGAUUCCUCAUAAAAAAGAGAUUUUUCCUGUGACAAACAGAUGUGUUUUUCCCCCCUUAAAUCAUUUAUUUUCCACAGCAUAUUGAAAAAAUGAAGCAUGCCCAUAUGGUUGGGUGUCAGUCAGGAGCAUAACUGGGUCACACCAGGAAACACCUGCUCAAAAGGCGGUGGUGUUGCUGGUAUGUACAGAUUUUGGCAUGGUGGUUUUGCCAGUCUGGGAAACCUCUCUUCAUGCCCUAUAAAAAGUUCUCAACAUAUGGGCUGAUGUCAUUAGUGGCAGCUGUCGUUUAUUGCCCUCACCCCCUAACCCCCGCUUAAAAAAGAGCUCCUAGAGACAUGGCGCAUCAUCACAUCCUCCAGGCUGAGCGCCUCCACAAGGGCUGUCAUGUUAUCCGAUUUCUACCUUGCAAGUAUUGUGGCUAUAAAAUAUAAUGAUAACAAUAUUAUCCUGAUACUUGUGGAAAUCUUGAAAAUUAAACAACGAAAAUCAGUCAAAUUGAGGAAAAGCAAGAUGAGUGGAACAACACAUUUCUUAAUAAACUAACAUAAUAAAAGCAGUCACCUUACAUUUUAUAAUCUAUUCCUAAUAAUAUUCAAAUUUAUGAUUUAUCUGCAUCACUAGCCCUGCGAAGAAAACUUCUUUGCAGAGACGUUGCCUCAUUUAAUGAUUGUUCAUCAUACUUUUAUUUUGGUAUUUUUUUCCUGUCUUGCUUUAAAGUUGCUGUAUUCCUGUAUUGUCAAACUAUGCUUUUAUUUUGUAGUAGAACUUUCGGUAGACCGUAAGUUUCACAACAGAAUAAAGCAGUUAGAAGAACGGUUAUAAAGUGUACAUGUUCAGUUCAUUAGUAACCCAAAGAGCCUCAAUCUUAGGAUUCAUAAUAAAUCUUAAACAUCAGUUUUUAGUAAACAAUCAUGUCUUGGAGGGCGGCUUCAGCUCACUUGCUAGCCGUCUGUUAUGCUUCCAAAGUUUCUCCUUCAUUUUAUUAUGUGUUGCAACCAGCCUAAAGGACAACUAUGAACUUACAAACUAACUGUUUGUUUAUUUUUAGCACAAUAUCAAUAUGUUAUUUUCUUAUGCAGUCAAUGUCAGUAUAGUACACUGCGACAGCUCUAGUGUCUACUGUGCACAACCUGUUGGUCUAGCUGGGUCUAGUCUGAGGCCACUAGUUGUUUAUCUAAACCUGGUAGAAAAUAGGAAAAAAAAUAAAAACCUGCGUUUCAAUAUGUUCUUAGCAAUCGGUGCAUUGAAACUCUAUUAAAUUGUCACAGUGUUGCUACAGUGUGCAUCAUGAUUAACUCAGUUUUUUAACCUUUCUUAUUAGUUCCCAAAAUUGAACCUGUAAUUUCAGUCUGGUUGUGCAAAACUACAUAUUAACCAAACAUAGGCUACUUGUAUUUUGCUAAUGUAAAUAAAGUAAUACUGAAAUGUUUCUGACACAGAGGUUUUUAAUUUAUUAAAAUGAUGCCAUAUGCAACAUUAAUAAUAGUUUAAAAAAGAUGCCAAUCAUAUAUCUCUCUCUCAAACCGACACAAUUUCUGUUGCUCUGUUCUAAGAGCGGUAUGCCCCCUUAUGAUUGGAUAUAAUGCUAAUUAUAUAAUACUUAACUUCCAGUCGAUGUCCCUUUCUACCACAGUGGCAUGCAAAUACCCUUAAGGAAACACUGAGUUGAAAGGCUUCAUGUAAUGGACUAUGUUGGAAAAACACUCUUACCUCUAAGAGGGGAGUGCCUUGUAAUGCUCGGUAUCCACAGUGCGAGUUCAAACUGCAGUCACAGGCUCCACUACCUUUGCUUGUUUGAUAGAAUGUCAGUUUCUCUGUGACCAUGGGAUUUCAAUAAUGUAUGCCAGUUAUGUUCAGGCACUGCACUGUGGUUUUAUGCUUUAGUAGAACCACUACAUGACCUCAGCGUUCCUGCCAUUAAGUCAUCACUGUCAAUAGAGGGAAUGAGGUGCAGUGAAAUAUUAAUUAUUGUAUGGGCUUUGCUCUUUAUGCAGGAGUAGUAAAACUGUAUAGAAAAGAAUGGAGGAAAGAAGCUGCUUGGAUCCAUCCUCACAACCAAGUCUGGAGAAUUUGACCAAAUUGAAAUAAACAGGGUUUUUAUUAUUGUUAUUAGAAGUAUUUUAGAAAUAUCCCAUUAAUGUCCAUAUCAAACUCAUGCGAUUUACAGCACAUAUGUGAUAUUCGUUUUUAUCAAGUAAGACACACACAGGAUAAUGUAUGCAUGAUAACAAACAUUUCUCUAUUACCACAAAGGAGGGAUCCAGUUUGGCAAGAAAUUUCUGACUGUGCUGCGUCUGUUGCUGCUUGAAAUCCUUACUGCUUGUUUGAGAUCUACACUACCUACAGUUGAACCUCUAUGAUUUGAUGAGGUGAUGCACUGUAUGCUCUCAUAGAUACUGACACAAGAAGUCAGUGGAAUGAAAGGGACACUCAUGUUUAAGCCACCGCUACUAAAGCCGAUUUCUCACAUAUACUGCAGUCCUGAAUACAUCUGAACUUUAUCAAUUUGUCCCUGCUAGCCCCCUUGUUUGAAAGGACUCCUGGCAUUAGAUUCUUAAAGGUUCAUGGAGUUGUGCUUUGGUGUCCUCUCUGAUUACUUACACUGAUUUACACGUUUAUUGGUAUUUUGAUGUCACUAUACAUGUUGCAGCGACAACCCUAAAACAAACAUGACAACAUGUGAAACCAGUUGUAAGUUUUUAAUAGGGUAAAAAACAGCGGUCUGUCCUUCUGUCGGUGCAAGGGAAUGGAUGAACAGUAAACUGAGGCUUAGUGAAAAAUGCACUAAUGAAGAGUUUGAGGGGCCAGAAAUAAGAAGAGUUAGAAAAUAGCAUUUUUUUUAUUUUGUAGUGCACUUUAAGAAAGUUAGACGGUUGAGAAUAAAGUCAACAUUUCAAGUAAAAUGCUGAGAUUUAAAUUCAAGAAAAAAGGUCAAAUGUUAUAUCAAAAUUUCAAGAAUAAAUCCAAAAUUCAGAUAUGAGAGAAAAAGAAUAAUUUCUGAAAAAAAAAAAAAAAAAAGUCAAAUUCAGUUUCGGGGAUAAAAGGUUGAUAAUUGCUAGAUGAUGUUGCCCACUUCUGUGUAAAAUCAAUUAUGGGCCAUAGCUUCUAUACUGUGUUGUAUUCCAAACAUGCCAUAGUAAUGUUUUAUUGUUGUUUUUAACGUACAAGAUUCUCAAAAGACAUAAUUUUUUAUAUCCAUGUGAAAGAAAAAGAGGAGAUGGAUGAAGUUGAUCAUUUCAGUUAAAUUCUAUAGUUUUUGUUAAGGUCUCUGAUGUUCGCAUAAAGCUUUGGAUUAAUUUGUAAACACAUGCUGUUUUUUCAGUGUUAUAUUUGAAUGUUUUUACCUGUUAUUGAUAGGACAGAUGUAGAAAGACAGGAGACAUGCUGAGACAACGGGGGAAGAGUAAAGGGUGGUGGCCUGGUAUGGCAAGAGCUGUCACUGUGAUAAGGGCUGUAUCCUCGGUGGAUGGGACAUGCUGAAAUCACUGGGCCAAACAGUGUCCUACUCAUUGAUGAAUCUGAUAUGAGAAAUGUUUGAGGUUGUAAAUGAUAACAAUAACAAACAUUAAAACAUGACGUUUUAAAUAUCCACAGUUAGAUACACAUUUGAGAAGCUCAUAUUUUGAAUGAUGGUAGAUCAGAUCGUGUUCCCCUCCUUUUUCUGACGUGAUUCGCUCCAUGCAAGUACGGUUAUCAAAUACUGAAUAAAGGUAAAUUUUGUUUAAUGCAGCUGUGAAUGAUUCAACUGAAUGUCCAAAGCUAGUGAUAUCAAGCGUCAGUCCAUACAUUUUUAAACUGCGGUAUAAGAGGAUUCAUAUUUAACAUGAGACAAUCAGUGCAUUAACAGCAGGAGGGAUUUACAGAAGCACCUCUCCAUCACUCUGAUAUUCUUUGUUAGGAGUUGCAGGUUAUCAGAUCUGUGAGUGAUGAGAUUUUCUAAAUCUGUGGUUUUCAAACUUUUCCUGCAGGUCCCCCUUAAGGUAGAUGAAAACAUCUUCAAGCCCCUGCUUCUUUUCAUCAUAUUCAUUAAGACGUAAGUGAUUACAUAUGUUAAAAACCUCCUGGGACUGCUCAGUUUGGGAAUAAUUUGUCUAAGUCAUUAUUUGCAGAUUGGUACAGUAGAAAUGCGCAUGCAAAUGCAAGAAAAAUAUACUCAGACAGCCUGUCCAUGUAUGGUCUGUGUGUGGGAAACACUGCACCGUCUGUCCUUAUUUGAAUAUAAUUUUUCUAACUAUAGACUCUAGGCACUUGAGUUGUGAAGUAUCCUGAUCUAAUCUUAAAUCAGCAUGAUUAAAAAAACCACAGAGAAUUUAACUGUUUCAGAGUGUUUCCUGCCCAUUGUAUCAUUAACAAGAUAGUGGCACUCUAUAUUUUACCAUUCAGUAAAGUGCAGUGCUAUAUUAACCUUCUGUAGAGAAUGCCACGGCCUCUCAAUGAAGUACAUCUACUCUUCAUUUGGUGGUCACCCACAGGGAGAGAGAACAAUUAGGCCAAAAAAAAACAGGGAUAUGGUCAACAUCAGGAAACAAUGCUUCUGUUUCCAACUGCGCUGCCCCUUUGCCACUGUUCCAAGAAGACAAUAAAAGAAGACAGGCAAAACUGAGAGUCAAAUCGAAGGUUAAUUGGAGCCAGAAAAAUGUCAACCAAUUUUACCGAUCAGCCACAAGGGAUAUGCAGCCCUUGGUGAAAAAGAUGCUGGUAUAUCUACAGAGUACAUUAGCUUCCUUUCUGUAACGUCCUCCUGAAGAGAGUGAUGAUGACAUCUUUUCAGCACUCUGUUUGCCCUCAAAGCAUUUGCGUCUGCACAAAAGACAAAAGUGUGUGUGUAUGUGUGUGUGUUACAGUGUGUGCACGUCCCUGGAUGUGUUAUAUGCUGCAUGCCAAAAUCAACAUUGCUAUCGGAGAUACUAGCUCUUUGGGAGACGACAGGUGUUGGCAACAGAUCUCUGACACCUCUGUGGUCAUGGCAUAUCCAUCCCCUCUGGUUAGUCUUACCGCAACAAAAGGUGCUUUGACAACAACAACCUCUUUGCAGAAGAAUAUAAACAGCAUUUGGGGCUUGUUAUGCCAUGAAUUAUAAAUAUGACAAAUAUGAAAAUAAAAAUAAAGUGCACUUCAUUGUGCUUCUAAAGGCUUUCGAGCUGCUUUGCAAAGCUUUCAUUACUGCAGCUUUUGAAAAGUCCUUGGUUUGAAUUUAGCUGCUUGUGCCAGGGUUUGUGAAUGAUUAUUACUGCACCCUUCGCUGAAAUUGAAUUCUUCAAAGGAAAGAUUGAUAAGGAACUUUAAAGCUAUAAAGGAAAGGAAAUAAAGAAUGCACUUUUUUAAGGCUAACCUGAGUGAAAAUGUCAUAUUGGCAGUUUACGGAGGAAAUUGGCCAGUCCUUCAGUCAAAAAAUAAAAAUCGUUGCCACAAAGGUUUUUCUCGAGGUUUUUCCUGACAACACACACACACGCACACACAUGCUCACACAGACCUUGGGGUCCAUAUUUUUUGGGACCUGAACCAAUAUUGGGUUCAGAGUAAUCUAGAAAUUAAGUCCCCCUCAAGAUUGACACUCAUAAUUUGAAAUUCCUCUUUGGAAAUAUCACAGUUUUUAUAACAUCCGAUUAUUAGGUCAGUUAGAGAAAGGACAUGAAGAAGUAACAACCCACUACAGUAAUAUUUACAUGUGAUUUUGACCAUCACGGCAGUGUUGUUGAUAAUUACACUGAGUAGCUCAUGUAUCUGCAUGUGUAUUUCCACCUUAUUGAGCUGUGCUUUCCAGUGCUUGGGGUGACCCAUGCAUCACUAGCAUUAAAUCAUGCUGUCACAUCCUAUAGUCUUUUUUUGUGCCUUUGACAAAGGGCAACUUAGCCUUGAUCUUCCUCACAGGACUACAGAGACUAAUGAUAAUAAAAAGGAUUACUCUUGGUAUAAGAAAAGGUGCUGUAGUCCACUCUUAAUUGGUGAGCUCCCUUGCUAAGUUGAUCUAGUCUUGAGGCUGCCAGUUAGUGAACUGGUCAAUUAAUCUUCUCUCUCUCUCAUAAUGAGGUGGGGGAUUUCAUAUGGCUGGUCCUUCUCACAAAGACAGACAAUGUGCCCAAAGGAUCCUCUGUCCCUGCACCAAGUGACCUGACAAUUAAAAAAUGUACCUCCCUUCUUCCCCUUCCUCACCAGGUGGCAAAUUGGUCUGACCCAGCCUCAUAUCAAAAGGACUAACCAUGACUUCAAACCGACUUCACAGGAACAAAAAGAGGGGAAAGGGCAGUAUCCUCCGUGAAAUAAGAUUGUUGUAUUAAGACUUUUGGC
Molecule: non-coding RNA, 13028 nt
Organism: Xyrichtys novacula (pearly razorfish)
Lineage: Eukaryota; Metazoa; Chordata; Actinopteri; Labriformes; Labridae
Source: the annotation of a GenBank genome assembly